GAUGAACGCUGGCGGCGUGCCUAAUACAUGCAAGUCGAGCGAACAGACCAGUAGCUUGCUCCUCUGACUUUAGCGGCGGUCGGAACAGUAACUCUUGGAUAACCUACCUAUAAGACUGUGAUAAUUUCGGCAAACCGGCGCUAAUACCGGAUAAUUUAUUGACCCGCAUGGUUCCCUAGUUAAAUACGGUUUUUCUGUCACUUAUAGCUUGCUACGCGCCUCAUUCGCUAGUUGGUAAGGUAAUGGCUUACCAAGGCGGCGAUGCGUAGCCGACCCGAGCGGGUGAUCGGCCACCCGGGAAGUGAGAAACGGUCCAGACUCCUGCGGGAGGAAGCAGUAGGGAAUCUUACGCAAUGGGGGAAAGCCGGACGGAGGAAAGCCGCGGGAGUGAUGAAGGUCUUCGGAUCGUAAAACUCUGUAAGUAGGGAAGAACAAAUGUGUAAGCAACUAGGCAGGUAAUGACGGUACCAAAUCAGAAAGCCACGGCUAACUACGUG
Molecule: ribosomal RNA, 497 nt
Filed under: uncultured bacterium
Lineage: Bacteria
Description: partial 16S ribosomal RNA
Rfam family: Bacterial small subunit ribosomal RNA
Source: RNAcentral